This 316-nucleotide long non-coding RNA is filed under the name Vombatus ursinus (common wombat). RNAcentral describes it as "lncRNA (ENSVURG00010011615.1)". Lineage: Eukaryota; Metazoa; Chordata; Mammalia; Diprotodontia; Vombatidae. The record is from RNAcentral.
GCACCCCUGGUGAACCAUGAGGGAAGGGGCCUAUUGUGGGGAGGCAGGGCCCUCUGAUUUCACUGGGUUACCAGGCUCCACCGGACAGGAGCCCUCUCAGGGCAGGCAUUGGGCCCCAUUCUGAAGUGGCCAGCGGACAGCCAGGCUUGGAGGUGGGCAGCUUCAUGCUCAGAGAAGAGCAGUUGGCACCCCUAGAGUGUGUCCUUCCACGAAGUUCAUCAGAGAUGGUGCUGGAGAAACCCUCGAGUCCCCACCAGGCUUCUGUCCUGGGCCAGCCCCAGGCUUUGGAAUGUGGCCAGGUGAGGCUCCCCAGCAG